Molecule: long non-coding RNA, 770 nt
Organism: Eptesicus fuscus (big brown bat)
Lineage: Eukaryota; Metazoa; Chordata; Mammalia; Chiroptera; Vespertilionidae
Exons: 4
Source: RefSeq, a predicted model, not a curated record
UCCCGCCCCCCAGGGAGAACACGUGGGGAUGCCCAGGUGUGUGCUUACAAGGAAAGCAACCCCAGAACGACGUCUCCACUUCUACAUUACAGUCGAGUUGCCAGAAAAACAGCACAGGGUGAGCCCCCCAUGAAGUACACCAAGGCCAGUCUUCUGGGUUAUUUCUUUGGAAUCCAAGAACAAUAUGCUGAGGUUUUCUGGGACAUCACACUUUGCAUAACAACCUGUUCUGGACAUCUAUAUAUAUAAAACCCUAAUAUGCAAAUAGACGGAACAGCAGAACAACUGAACAACCGAACAACCGGUUGCUAUGACGUGCAAUGACCACCAAGGGGUGUGCGUGGCACAUGACGAGCAUCAGCUGCGGCAGGAUGGUGGAGCAGAGAAGCACAUUCUGACCUGGCUGAGAGCUAUAUGCCCCGGGAAAUAAAAGUUAACCUAGGAAUGCAGUCGGUCCAUUCUCCUUUUCCAAGAACUGCCUGUCAUCAUGGGAAGAUUAACAACCUUGUUGCUGAAACAGUCUGGCCCAAGAGGCACCUGCCCUUUGCCCGCCCUUUCGACCCCAGCCCACGUUGCCUGUAACCUAGUAACCAUUAUACCUGGCCUACUUCUCCAUGCCUGUAAUACCUAUACUUUCCCAUGUAAUCUUUGUCCUCCUACCCGAUAUAAGUGGCUGGCUUAUGGGAAGGAGUCGAGCAGAUUUUUGUGGCUGACCUGCUGCUCUCACAUACUGCUGGCAUUAUUGGAAUAAAUGCUCAUGUAUGGUUCAA